This is a long non-coding RNA of Pseudophryne corroboree (corroboree frog), 269 nucleotides long. RefSeq lists it as uncharacterized. NCBI's taxonomy places the organism in Eukaryota, Metazoa, Chordata, Amphibia, Anura, Myobatrachidae. The transcript has 3 exons. The record is from RefSeq and is a predicted model, not a curated record.
CUCUUGCUUUUUGAUUUUGUCUUAUUAUUAAGUGCCAAAGUAGGCCAUCUUUGUGUUUGUGCCAAAAGAGUAUCUUUAUUUUUCUGAGCAGGUUGCUCUUGCUUUUUGAUUUUGUCUUAUUAUUAAGUGCCAAAGUAGUCCAUCUUUGAGUUUGUGCCAAAAGAGUAUCUUUAUCUUUCUGAGCAGGUUGCUCUUGCUUUUUGUUUUCUUGAUAAGUGCCAAAGUAGGCCAUAUUUGUGUUUUAAUAAAAAGAGUAUCUUUAUUUUUCU